GUACUUAUUAACGAGAUUUGGGAUUUAAAAAAAUAUUUUGGAAAUAAUGAAAUAAAUUUAAAAAUUUUGAAUAGUAUUGCCGGGUAUGGAAGGGAAAAGUCCUUCUAAAAUAUAGAAGUUGAGAAAUAUAUUUUUGAAUUAGAUUUUUUUUUUAAAAAAAUUGUUAUUAAUUCUUGAUAUCUUUUUUUUUUUUUUUUGAAGUAGGUAAAAUCAGUGACAAAGUUAAAACUAAAGAGUACUAAAAUAAAUAUUCGAUAAAUCUAGAUAGAAUAUUUGAAGUUUUUUGUACAUAAUUUAACGAAAUAUUAAACCACAUGAUACUAAAAUAAAAAAAAAGCGAUACCACAGAGUACUAACUUGAUACACUUUAAACCACAGAGUACUAAAAUGAGAAAGUGCGAAACCACAGGGUACUAACUUGAUACACUUUAAACCACAGGGUACUAAAGUGAAAAAGUGCGAAACCACAGGGGGGUAUUUGAAGUUUUCCCUUUUAAAAAUCUAUUUAACACUAAAUUAAUUAUAAUUUAAUUUUAAUUUACGUUUGUUUAAAUUUUAUGUUAUUAUUUAGUUUAUUUUGGUGUUAUUUUCAAAUUAUUUACUAAAAAUAUAU
Molecule: long non-coding RNA, 613 nt
Filed under: Ananas comosus (pineapple)
Lineage: Eukaryota; Viridiplantae; Streptophyta; Magnoliopsida; Poales; Bromeliaceae
Description: long non-coding RNA (ACOM_LNC021518)
Source: RNAcentral